AAGACCAAAGAGGGGGACCUUCGGGCCUCUUGCCAUCAGAUGUGCCCAGAUGGGAUUAGCUUGUUGGUGAGGUAACGGCUCACCAAGGCGACGAUCCCUAGCUGGUCUGAGAGGAUGACCAGCCACACUGGAACUGAGACACGGUCCAGACUCCUACGGGAGGCAGCAGUGGGGAAUAUUGCACAAUGGGCGCAAGCCUGAUGCAGCCAUGCCGCGUGUAUGAAGAAGGCCUUCGGGUUGUAAAGUACUUUCAGCGGGGAGGAAGGUGUUGUGGUUAAUAACCGCAGCAAUUGACGUUACCCGCAGAAGAAGCACCGGCUAACUCCGUGCCAGCAGCCGCGGUAAUACGGAGGGUGCAAGCGUUAAUCGGAAUUAC
Molecule: ribosomal RNA, 376 nt
Filed under: Salmonella enterica
Lineage: Bacteria; Pseudomonadati; Pseudomonadota; Gammaproteobacteria; Enterobacterales; Enterobacteriaceae
Description: bacterial SSU rRNA
Rfam family: Bacterial small subunit ribosomal RNA
Source: RNAcentral